UAUAAAAAACUUGCCUUGUAAGUUAAGAUAUGUGUCUUACAAAGUUAACAUGUUCUAGAGGUCCUAUAGGACAUCACGACAUAGCUCCUAGUUAAGAGUAUAUAUGAAGGCAAGAGUGAUGCCUUCUUCAUUCUUGUCAAUGCCUUUUUAAUUCUUAGUCUUAUUUUAAGACUUUUCUAGUCUUCUUGUUUUUGGCAAUAACCAUUCUAGUUUAAUAUUAUAUUAUCUUUGAGUAACUUUUUUGUUCUUUUCAAUGACACAAGAAUGUAUUGAAGAUUUUUCUUUCUUCAAGAACUUUGACAUCCUAUGACUAUAUAUUUCUACAAUCAAAAAUCUCUUAAUUAUGGGUGUUUACUUCCAUGUAAGAACUUAUGAUUGUAGAUGUCUAUGACCAUUGAAUCGUGAUUGUGUAGCCUUACCA
RNAcentral lists this long non-coding RNA (421 nucleotides) under Physcomitrium patens. RNAcentral's name for it is "long non-coding RNA (PPAT_LNC003262)". The record is from RNAcentral. Lineage: Eukaryota; Viridiplantae; Streptophyta; Bryopsida; Funariales; Funariaceae.